Molecule: long non-coding RNA, 869 nt
Filed under: Homo sapiens (human)
Lineage: Eukaryota; Metazoa; Chordata; Mammalia; Primates; Hominidae
Description: novel transcript
Source: RNAcentral
GCCCCUUUGCUUCCUGCUGUGUACUUGAGCUGGGACAUCAGUCUUCUCCUGCCCUUGGACUGGGAUUUACACCCUCAGCCUCUGGUUCUCAGGCCUUCAGACUUGGACUGGAAUUAUACUCUUGGUCUCCUCUCCAGUUUGCAGACAGCAGAUCAUGGGACUUGAUCUGCUCAGCCUCAAUAAUCACCCUGCACUGCUCAGAUGUCAGUCUCUAAAUUCCUAACACAAAUGAACAGAAGACAAAAUCAUUUGCAGGAUUCUGAAAUGAAGUUUUUCAGCGGAACACAGAGAAACAGUUAAAUUUUGCAAAGCUGUGAAACUGGAGAGGGGGCUGUCCUCCAAAUCUACCAACCAGAGACCUGGAAGGAAUUACUUGCAUGAGAUUCAUUUCUCUCUGUCUUUCUCUUUCUCCCCUCUCCCCACCUAUCUGCACCAAACUCACCUGCCAAUUUCAUCAGCGAUACUUGAAUGGAUUUUCUAACCUGUUCCACUCCAAAUUGAUCAGUUAAUUAAGUUGAUCUCUACAAGACUGUUAAAGAACCAGGUCUUUUUCCUUUCAUGUUAUGCAGUUCCAAGUAAACUCCCUUUACUCUGGUAUCCUUAUCAGAGGCAGACAUCACAGGAAGUGGAGCAUUCCUUAUGAAUAUCUUAAUCUACACACAAAUAGAUUUUUUUCAAUGUGAAUUUGGAUUUCUAAAAGCACGCUUACUGCAAGUACAUUUUGCAGCCUCUUGUUUCCAGAUCAGAAUUGAGUGAUUUUCUAUUAUUUAUUUAUUUAUUAUUUGUCACUUUAAAAUAUGCAAUUCUUGGGAUCAUGCAGAAUUGCUGUAUAUUUGCUUUGAAGAUUAGAAUAAAACUGGUAGAUAAUG